This 1218-nucleotide ribosomal RNA is filed under the name Pseudarthrobacter oxydans. RNAcentral's name for it is "bacterial SSU rRNA". It matches the Rfam family "Bacterial small subunit ribosomal RNA", at positions 89 to 1319 of the family's 1533-position model. Lineage: Bacteria; Bacillati; Actinomycetota; Actinomycetes; Micrococcales; Micrococcaceae. The record is from RNAcentral.
GGAUUAGUGGCGAACGGGUGAGUAACACGUGAGUAACCUGCCCUUAACUCUGGGAUAAGCCUGGGAAACUGGGUCUAAUACCGGAUAUGACUCCUCAUCGCAUGGUGGGGGGUGGAAAGCUUUUUGUGGUUUUGGAUGGACUCGCGGCCUAUCAGCUUGUUGGUGAGGUAAUGGCUUACCAAGGCGACGACGGGUAGCCGGCCUGAGAGGGUGACCGGCCACACUGGGACUGAGACACGGCCCAGACUCCUACGGGAGGCAGCAGUGGGGAAUAUUGCACAAUGGGCGCAAGCCUGAUGCAGCGACGCCGCGUGAGGGAUGACGGCCUUCGGGUUGUAAACCUCUUUCAGUAGGGAAGAAGCGAAAGUGACGGUACCUGCAGAAGAAGCGCCGGCUAACUACGUGCCAGCAGCCGCGGUAAUACGUAGGGCGCAAGCGUUAUCCGGAAUUAUUGGGCGUAAAGAGCUCGUAGGCGGUUUGUCGCGUCUGCCGUGAAAGUCCGGGGCUCAACUCCGGAUCUGCGGUGGGUACGGGCAGACUAGAGUGAUGUAGGGGAGACUGGAAUUCCUGGUGUAGCGGUGAAAUGCGCAGAUAUCAGGAGGAACACCGAUGGCGAAGGCAGGUCUCUGGGCAUUAACUGACGCUGAGGAGCGAAAGCAUGGGGAGCGAACAGGAUUAGAUACCCUGGUAGUCCAUGCCGUAAACGUUGGGCACUAGGUGUGGGGGACAUUCCACGUUUUCCGCGCCGUAGCUAACGCAUUAAGUGCCCCGCCUGGGGAGUACGGCCGCAAGGCUAAAACUCAAAGGAAUUGACGGGGGCCCGCACAAGCGGCGGAGCAUGCGGAUUAAUUCGAUGCAACGCGAAGAACCUUACCAAGGCUUGACAUGAACCGGUAACGCCUGGAAACAGGUGCCCCGCUUGCGGUCGGUUUACAGGUGGUGCAUGGUUGUCGUCAGCUCGUGUCGUGAGAUGUUGGGUUAAGUCCCGCAACGAGCGCAACCCUCGUUCUAUGUUGCCAGCACGUGAUGGUGGGGACUCAUAGGAGACUGCCGGGGUCAACUCGGAGGAAGGUGGGGACGACGUCAAAUCAUCAUGCCCCUUAUGUCUUGGGCUUCACGCAUGCUACAAUGGCCGGUACAAAGGGUUGCGAUACUGUGAGGUGGAGCUAAUCCCAAAAAGCCGGUCUCAGUUCGGAUUGGGGUCUGCAACUCGACCCC